Molecule: ribosomal RNA, 884 nt
Filed under: uncultured bacterium
Lineage: Bacteria
Description: bacterial SSU rRNA
Rfam family: Bacterial small subunit ribosomal RNA
Source: RNAcentral
AGAGUUUGAUCAUGGCUCAGGACGAACGCUGGCGGCGUGCUUAACACAUGCAAGUCGAGCGGGGCAUAGCAAUAUGCCUAGCGGCGGACGGGUGAGUAACACGUGGGUAAUCUGCCCUCAAGUGGGGAAUAACACAAAGAAAUUUGUGCUAAUACCGCAUAGAACUGAUGCUUCGCAUGGAAUAUCAGUUAAAGAUUUAUUGCUUGAGGAUGAGCCCGCGGCCCAUUAGCUAGUUGGUGAGGUAACGGCCCACCAAGGCAACGAUGGGUAGCCGACCUGAGAGGGUGAUCGGCCACAUUGGAACUGAGACACGGUCCAGACUCCUACGGGAGGCAGCAGUGGGGAAUAUUGCACAAUGGGGGAAACCCUGAUGCAGCAACGCCGCGUGAGCGACGAAGGCCUUCGGGUUGUAAAGCUCUGUCUUCGCUGACGAAUUAAUGACGGUAAGCGAGGAGGAAGCCACGGCUAACUACGUGCCAGCAGCCGCGGUAAUACGUAGGUGGCAAGCGUUGUCCGGAAUUAUUGGGCGUAAAGGGUGCGUAGGUGGUCUUUUAAGUGGGAUGUGAAAUACCUGGGCUUAACUCAGGGAUUGCAUUCCAAACUGGGAGACUAGAGUGCAGGAGAGGAAAGUGGAAUUCCCAGUGUAGCGGUGAAAUGCGUAGAGAUUGGGAGGAACACCAGUGGCGGAGGCGACUUUCUGGACUGUAACUGACACUGAGGCACGAAAGCGUGGGGAGCAAACAGGAUUAGAUACCCUGGUAGUCCACGCUGUAAACUAUGAGUACUAGGUGUAGGGGGCGAAGCCCUCUGUGCCGCAGUUAACACAAUAAAGUACUCCGCCUGGGAAGUACGAUCGCAAGAUUUAAACUCAAAGGAAAUUGACG